CCCAAAAUAAGUUUUGCACUAUUCAUCUCCAACGUUUGACCGUUUGUCUUAUUUGAAAAUUUUUUAUGAUUAUUAUUUUUAUUGUUAUUAGAUGAUAAAACAUGAAUAAUACUUUAUGUGUGACUAAUUUUUUAAAAAAAAAUUAUAAAUUUUUCAAAUAAGAUGGACGGUCAAACAUUGGACAUGGAUUUUCACAGCUGCAUUUAUU
RNAcentral lists this microRNA precursor (208 nucleotides) under Oryza barthii. Its description in RNAcentral is "MIR812 microRNA precursor family". It matches the Rfam family "MIR812 microRNA precursor family". Lineage: Eukaryota; Viridiplantae; Streptophyta; Magnoliopsida; Poales; Poaceae. The record is from Rfam by way of RNAcentral.